GUGUACCCGCGGCAAGACGGAAAGACCCCGUGAACCUUUACUAUAGCUUGACACUGAACAUUGAGCCUUGAUGUGUAGGAUAGGUGGGAGGCAACGAAGUGUGGACGCCAGUCUGCGCGGAGCCAUCCUUGAAAUACCACCCUUUAACGUUUGAUGUUCUAACCCGGGUCCAUAAUCUGGAUCGGGGACCGUGUCUGGUGGGUAGUUUGACUGGGG
RNAcentral lists this ribosomal RNA (216 nucleotides) under Morganella morganii. RNAcentral describes it as "partial 23S ribosomal RNA". It matches the Rfam family "Bacterial large subunit ribosomal RNA", at positions 2064 to 2279 of the family's 2925-position model. The record is from RNAcentral. Lineage: Bacteria; Pseudomonadati; Pseudomonadota; Gammaproteobacteria; Enterobacterales; Morganellaceae.